UACGUAGGUGGCAAGCGUUGUCCGGAUUUAUUGGGUUUAAAGGGUGCGUAGGCGGUCCUAUAAGUCAGUGCUGAAAUAUCCCGGCUUAACCGGGAGGGUGGCAUUGAUACUGCAGGACUUGAGUAAAGUUGAGGUAGGCGGAAUUGACGGUGUAGCGGUGAAAUGCUUAGAUAUCGUCAAGAACACCAAUAGUGUAGACAGCUUACUAAGCUUUAACUGACGCUGAGGCACGAAAGUGUGGGGAUCAAACAGG
This 253-nucleotide ribosomal RNA is filed under the name uncultured bacterium. RNAcentral's name for it is "partial 16S ribosomal RNA". It matches the Rfam family "Bacterial small subunit ribosomal RNA", at positions 524 to 776 of the family's 1533-position model. The record is from RNAcentral.